GGAGAUGUAAGAGAACGACAGAUUUACCUUUACAGGAGAUCUGAAUCGCUCUGAAUGUGAAGAAGUGUCCGGAGGAGCAGCAGGUGAGAGAUGUGCAGAAACACCGCGAGCAAAACAAACACACCAGAUCCACGUGCAGCAUCAGACGGACUGCUGUCAUUACUCACUGACAGCGCGACGCACGCGGAAACUUACUUACAGAGUAAGGGAUGAGUUUGAUCAGAAGCAGAGCUCUGGGACGUGUGGACAGACUUUCACUGUAAUGAUGGACAUCCGCUGAUGGACAGAAGUAUAACCCCUGCUGGACAUCGUGCCGGGGCUCGGGGGGGACCCGAAUCAUCCCCGUCCCUUCAUUCACACAACACUCACAUCACGGAGAUCUGGCUGGGAUCAAACCAGCAACCUCUGAACCAUGAGGCAACACGCUAACCUGCGAGCCACAGAUCUCUUGCUUAAACUUGUGAAGGAACUUAUAUUUCACUGUUAACCUGUAUGUGAUUUGACAAGAAACCUGUUAAAGCUUUAGCAGAGUCUCUUUCAAAUCAUCCCCUUCACAGAAGUCUGGCUGGGAUAGAACCAGCAACCUCUGAACGGCG
RNAcentral lists this long non-coding RNA (596 nucleotides) under Sinocyclocheilus grahami. Its description in RNAcentral is "lncRNA (ENSSGRG00000035345.1)". The record is from RNAcentral. Lineage: Eukaryota; Metazoa; Chordata; Actinopteri; Cypriniformes; Cyprinidae.